AGUAUAAAAAUUGAGACAAAAAAGAACUCAUUAAGUGGAUGUAUAUCAGAAGCAUUGGAAGAGUUAAUGAUGUACUUUGAAUUGUUAGGCAAGACAUUUUGCAGAAGGAUGAAGAUAUAAGGAAGAAAGCUUCUUCUAGGUUUAAAGCAGGGUGAUUCAUCUUUGGAGUGCUCUGCAGUUGCAAAGGCUAUUAAUACUACAAGAAAAGUCUAUAAAAUAGUUAUAAGCCAGCUCUAGUGCAUAUAUCAAUUUUCAUGCACAUGAAAACAGCAAUAUGAGGAUGCUCGGGUGCAAGUGUAGUAAAACUAGAUAUAUAGACGUCCAAUAACUGUACUUGAAGAAGACUAGAGAUGGCCUUGAUAGAGGAUAUCAAAACAAGGUGAUGGAAUUUACUUAAAAAAGAAAAAAAAUGGUGAGGGAAAUUUCCUUCAGUCAGACUUGUUAGAUAGGCUGGAGAUAGUCUGAAUGAGGCGGGGGU
Molecule: long non-coding RNA, 478 nt
Filed under: Phoenix dactylifera (date palm)
Lineage: Eukaryota; Viridiplantae; Streptophyta; Magnoliopsida; Arecales; Arecaceae
Description: long non-coding RNA (PDAC_LNC011020)
Source: RNAcentral